AACGAACGCUGGCGGCAUGCCUAACACAUGCAAGUCGAACGAGACCUUCGGGUCUAGUGGCGCACGGGUGCGUAACGCGUGGGAACCUGCCCUUAGGUUCGGAAUAACUCCCCGAAAGGGGUGCUAAUACCGGAUAAUGUCUUCGGACCAAAGAUUUAUCGCCUUUGGAUGGGCCCGCGUUGGAUUAGCUAGUUGGUAGGGUAAAAGCCUACCAAGGCGACGAUCCAUAGCUGGUCUGAGAGGAUGAUCAGCCACACUGGGACUGAGACACGGCCCAGACCCCCACGGGGGGGAGGCGGGGGGAAAUUGGGAACAAGGGCCGAAAGCCGGACCCACAAAGCCGGGGGGGGGGAGGAGGGCUUGGGGUUUUAAAGCCUCUUUUCCCGGGAUGGAAAGGAACGGACCGGGGAAAAAAAGCCCGGCCAACCCCCG
Molecule: ribosomal RNA, 432 nt
Filed under: uncultured bacterium
Lineage: Bacteria
Description: partial 16S ribosomal RNA
Rfam family: Bacterial small subunit ribosomal RNA
Source: RNAcentral